UACCAGCACCCGAGUGGUCGGGACGAUUAUUGGGCCUAAAGCAUCCGUAGCCGGCCUUACAAGUCCUCCGUUAAAUCCAGCUGCUUAACAGAUGGGCUGCGGAGGAUACUAUAAGACUAGGAGGCAGGAGAGGCAAGCGGUACUCAGUGGGUAGGGGUAAAAUCCGUUGAUCCAUUGAAGACCACCAGUGGCGAAGGCGGCUUGCCAGAA
Molecule: ribosomal RNA, 210 nt
Filed under: uncultured bacterium
Lineage: Bacteria
Description: partial 16S ribosomal RNA
Rfam family: Archaeal small subunit ribosomal RNA
Source: RNAcentral